This 546-nucleotide ribosomal RNA is filed under the name uncultured Glomeromycotina. RNAcentral describes it as "SSU rRNA". It matches the Rfam family "Eukaryotic small subunit ribosomal RNA", at positions 548 to 1098 of the family's 1831-position model. The record is from RNAcentral. Lineage: Eukaryota; Fungi; Glomeromycota.
UUGGAGGGCAAGUCUGGUGCCAGCAGCCGCGGUAAUUCCAGCUCCAAUAGCGUAUAUUAAAGUUGUUGCAGUUAAAAAGCUCGUAGUUGAAUUUCGGGAUCAGUACGUUGGUCGUGCCUUAGGUACGUACUGGUGUUACUGGUUCCUACCUUCUGACGAACCAUCAUGUCAUUCAUUUGGUGUGGCGGGGAAUCAGGACUGUUACUUUGAAAAAAUUAGAGUGUUUAAAGCAGGCUCGCGCUUGAAUACAUUAGCAUGGAAUAAUGAAAUAGGACGUUGAUCCUAUUUUGUUGGUUUCUAGGAUUGACGUAAUGAUUAAUAGGGAUAGUUGGGGGCAUUAGUAUUCAAUUGUCAGAGGUGAAAUUCUUGGAUUUAUUGAAGACUAACUACUGCGAAAGCAUUUGCCAAGGAUGUUUUCAUUAAUCAAGAACGAAAGUUAGGGGAUCGAAGACGAUCAGAUACCGUCGUAGUCUUAACCAUAAGCUAUGCCGACUAGGGAUCGGAUGAUGUUAUUUUUAAUGACUCAUUCGGCGCCUUACGGGAAAC